GACGGGUGAGUAAUGCCUGGGGAUCUGCCCAGUCGAGGGGGAUAACUACUGGAAACGGUAGCUAAUACCGCAUACGCCCUACGGGGGAAAGCAGGGGACCUUCGGGCCUUGCGCGAUUGGAUGAACCCAGGUGGGAUUAGCUAGUUGGUGAGGUAAUGGCUCACCAAGGCGACGAUCCCUAGCUGGUCUGAGAGGAUGAUCAGCCACACUGGAACUGAGACACGGUCCAGACUCCUACGGGAGGCAGCAGUGGGGAAUAUUGCACAAUGGGGGAAACCCUGAUGCAGCCAUGCCGCGUGUGUGAAGAAGGCCUUCGGGUUGUAAAGCACUUUCAGCGAGGAGGAAAGGUUGGUAGCUAAUAACUGCCAGCUAUGACGUUACUCGCAGAAGAAGCACCGGCUAACUC
Molecule: ribosomal RNA, 406 nt
Filed under: Aeromonas veronii bv. sobria
Lineage: Bacteria; Pseudomonadati; Pseudomonadota; Gammaproteobacteria; Aeromonadales; Aeromonadaceae
Description: bacterial SSU rRNA
Rfam family: Bacterial small subunit ribosomal RNA
Source: RNAcentral